This 6867-nucleotide long non-coding RNA is filed under the name Aquilegia coerulea. RNAcentral describes it as "long non-coding RNA (ACOE_LNC002258)". Lineage: Eukaryota; Viridiplantae; Streptophyta; Magnoliopsida; Ranunculales; Ranunculaceae. The record is from RNAcentral.
ACGCGAAGACAAAGAGUCGGAAUGACGCGCGUACAACGAGGUUUUCCUAACAAUGAACUCAAGGCGAGAUAACCAUGGACAUCCAAUGUCACAAAAUUAAUGUCAAACAACCGAGUGCCGGUUACAGUAAAGUCUGUUCCUUGCAUCUCAAAUUUUCAUUACUUCACAUCUAAGCAUGACACAUUAAUACCUAAGGUUCCUUGUAAGAGUAAACUCAAUUCUGCAGCCUCAAAACUACAUAUUUCAGAGCCUUCAGCCCCAUGAGCAUGUCCUGACGCCUACAAUAAUUAGUUGCAACACGUUUAAAAGUAAAAAUCAAUAUAUAAGAUGCAGUCUCUAGUCAUCGACUUAGCUAUUGACAAUAAAAAAUGGACAGCACGCAAAACUGCAAGCACCCCAGGAGUUACUAUAUUACAAAAACAGAUACCAACGUCUGACAUAUGAAAAAACAGUUCCUACACAAAGAACCAUUAAAGAAGCUCAAUGCAAUUCAAGUAUAACAGUAAAGAAUAGAGAGCAAGCUUUCUAAACGUGUACCUGAAUGAGAAUGAUAUUUGCACCUUUUGAGUGAGCAUCACUAACAAACCUAUGUAGUUAUCAUACAAACAAAACAUAAGUAAAUUGGUGACCAAGAGCAUUGGAAAGAUCAAACACUCUAAAAAACUACUAUCAUGAUCAAAUACAUGAUACAUAAUUCAAGCUCAAUGAUUUACUUAAUAUAUUUCACAGAGUUAACAACCUCAUCAUUUGAUAUAUUGGCAUGCAUUAAAAAUUUUACCAUACAAAUUAAAACUCAGAAACCAUACAGUAUAUUGGCAUGCAUUACUAUAGUCUAAAAGUAAAACUCAGAAACCAUACAAAUUCUAUAAAACAGUACAUAAACGAUAGUCCACCUGACCUGUUUAGAGCGAGGUGUGGUAAGCCAUCCAAAUAGAAAAGUAUAAGAUAUAAGUUUCUGUGAAACCAUGAUCAGUUAGCUAAAUCACCAACUCUGCAAUUUAAAAAGAAAAUAUAUAGGCUUAGGUAUCUUUUUUAUUUUUAUCAAAAGAAAACAUCAAAAGCCACAAGGCAUUGAGAUUCAAAAGAAUGGAAAGAACUUUGUGAUGCAAUUAUCUCAUUUUAGAUAGGGGAGCUUCUGAAUGAAUAGAGGUAAUGUACUCCUUGCUUACAAAUAAAUGAACUUUACCUCUUAAUACAAUAUAGCAUAUAAAAAAAUCAGUAGCCUACUAGGAAGCAGAAUUGAUUACGAAUAACUUGACUACAUUUUCAUGGUCACCAAGGUGGUUGUGGACACAAUAUAGUUAUUAUAGAAAUAUAUUUCCAAAAACCAUCAAAAACAUAUAAGUGACAUGUAAAACUGGAUAAGCAGGUUGCAAAUUCUAGAAGAUGUAUGGUGAGGAAGUUGUAAAAGAUAACCUACAAAGAACAAAACCAUCAAGCCAUUUAUCAUGGAAGAAAACAUGUGAACAAAGAUAAUGUAACUAUAUUGGUCAGCAUUUUCACAUUUAAAUGAAUUAUCGAAACUAAGACAUGAGCUUCUAGAAAAUAACUUCGAAAUCUAAAGCUAGUAGCUGUUGGAUUUUUUGGACGGGGGAACUUUUUUGUUCAGGAACGUACGUACGCAGUUAGGACGUUCGUACGUUCCAUUCUACAGAUAACUUUGGUGGGAAGGAACGUACGUACGUAGUUAGGGCGUACGUACGUCCCGUAGCACAGAUGUUGGUUUUUUGAAGCUGAACGUACGUACGUGAUUUCGACGUACAUACGUCCUCUCUUGGUUUUGUGUAUAUGGGCCGGUUUAAGCCCAUUUCGUGUGUGUUUGUAUGGCUAUGUUAUAAAGCCAAUUGAGAAGGUUGGAAAACCUAAUCUUCAUGUGAGAGAGAGAUUGUGAGAAGCCAUUGGUGAGUUUGAGAGAACUCUUGUGAGGAAGAACACUUUGGUUUCUUCGAGAGGGCUUGUAUAAUCGUCUUUAUUUGGAAGAUUGUUGUUUUGGUCGUGGACGUAGGCAAUAUUAGCCGAACCACGUAAAUCUUGUGUUUGUGUUUGUUUGUUUUUUUUUGCUUUGUCAUCUUUCAUACACUAUUUCAAUCUUGGGUAUUGGUGCAUAAGCUUCCGCUGCGCACAACAAGUGGCAUCAGAGCUGCAGGCUAGAUCUUGAGAGCCUUGAAGGCGUUUGAAGAAAUUUCUGCAGGUGAGUUUCUUAUUUGUGGUUUAAGGCAAAAGUUCUAUCUUGUAUCCGUGGGUUGUCAAGAAGGUGUUUGUUGAAAUUCCCGUGUGAAUUUCAGAUUUGUUUACCUUCGAUUGGUGAUUGUUUAGUGUGUGAAAGUGAUUAGUGAUGUCAGACCCAUCUUCGAGUAAGAAUGGAAGAGUGUCAUCUUUGAAGUUUGACAUCGAGAAAUUCAAUGGUAGAAACAACUUCGGCAUGUGGCAGUGCGAAGUUUUGGAUUUGCUUGCUCAGCAAGGUUUGGAAGAUGCUUUGGGUGAAAAACCCGAAAAGAUGAAAGAAGAUGAUUGGUUGAAGUUGAAUAGGCAAGUUUGUGGUGUGAUUCGCCUUUGUUUGGAAAAGGACCAGAAAUACUCGGUGAUGAAAGAAACGUCUGCUAAGGAGUUGUGGAAGAAAUUGGCUGAUAUGUAUAUGAAGAAAAGUUUAGAAACCAAGUUGUUUCUGAAGAAGAGGAUCUUCCGCAUCGAUAUGAGACCUGGUAUUUCUUUGUCUGAACCUCUGGAUGAAUUCAAUAGGCUUAUUGCUGACCUAUUGAAUUUGGAUGAGGUUGUCAGUGAUAAUGACAAGUCUCUAUGUCUUUGAACUCUNNNNNNNNNNNNNNNNNNNNNNNNNNNNNNNNNNNNNNNNNNNNNNNNNNNNNNNNNNNNNNNNNNNNNNNNNNNNNNNNNNNNNNNNNNNNNNNNNNNNAGUAUGCUGAUGUAGCAACGGCGUUACUGAACUAUGAAUGCAGGCGCAAGGACAAAGAAGUCCAUAGGGGUUCAGGUUCAACGUCCGAGGCUUUGAUGGUAAGGGGACGAUCCAAUGAUCGUACUACUGGUAGCGGAGGAAGAUCUCGAUCAAAGUCUAGAGGUAAACCUCUAGCAAAGGAUGAGUGUGCCUUUUGUCAUGGAAAAGGCCAUUGGAAGGUUGAUUGUCCCGAGUUGUCAAAGAAGGAAGAUUCUGUGUCUUCCAAAGAUAAUAAGGUAAAUGUUGCACAUACUGAUGAUAGUGAUGAUGAUUCAAAUUAUUCUUUGGCUGUUAUGGUUGAUUGCUCCACUCAAGGGUGGAUUAUGGAUUCUGCAUGUUUUCACCAUUUGUGUCACAGUAGAGAUUUGUUUGCUAGUUUUCAAAAGCUAGACUGUGAUGAUGUUGUGUUAGGUGAUGGUCGUCACAUGAAAACACUUGGUGUGGGGACUAUCAAGUUGAAGUUGGAGAAUGGUACAGUUAAAGAAUUAGUUGGUGUCCGGUAUGUUUCGGAGUUGGAGGUGAAUCUCAUCUCUCUUGGAACUUUAGAGUCUGAUGGUAUGAAGAUUGUUCUGCAAAAUGGGGCUUUAAAGGUUGUUUCUGGUGCUUUGGUUGUUAUGAGAGGGACAAGGCAACAAAAUUUGUACUAUCUUAACGGUAGUGUUGUUGGUUGUGGUGGAGAUUCUUCUUCACAUUUGGUGGAUUGUUUGACUCCUCCCAGUUUGUCAGAUGUUUGGUAAUGUGGCUUUGGUAGGCGUACGGCAGCAUGCUGUGAUGGUGGUAGUACGUAAGUUUGUUUUGGGCAUCCUUGUUUGAAUGAUAGUUNNNNNNNNNNNNNNNNNNNNNNNNNNNNNNNNNNNNNNNNNNNNNNNNNNNNNNNNNNNNNNNNNNNNNNNNNNNNNNNNNNNNNNNNNNNNNNNNNNNNAGCUGAUGUUAGUUUGCUAGCCACAGAUGUUUGUUUGAAGGCUCAAGCCCAUGAGCUAAUUGGAGCUGUGAAGUCGUUGUUUGGAGACCUUUGUAGGUUUCGGGGUGUUGAUUCAUACUCAUCUUCAGUCGGUUAUGGUCAUAAAGUGGAGAUAGUAUUUGGUAGUUUGGACCCCAUUGUUUUGGAUUAUGGUUGUUGGCCCUCUACGGGCAUUGGUGGGCAUUUGUUUUGAUUUGGCCCCUUGUGGGAAUUUGACCCUUCGGGGUAUGGUGGGCAUCGCAUAGAUGCCAUUGGAGUGAACUACGGUGGUUUGAUCCCUUAGAAGAAGGGUACGUAGGCAACCAUGAGGUGGUGCAACCGCUUUGGUCCUUCGGGACAAGUAUGGGAGUUUGGGACUUGGUGUCGGCUUAGAUUUAUUGAAUCUUCGCCGAGGUGGAGAAUUGUUGGAUUUUUUGGACGGGGGAACUUUUUUGUUCAGGAACGUACAUACGCAGUUAGGACGUUCGUACGUUCCAUUCGACAGAUAACUUUGGUGGGAAGGAACGUACGUACGUAGUUAGGGCGUACGUACGUCCCGUAGCACAGAUGUUGGUUUUUUGAAGCUGAACGUACGUACGUGAUUUCGACGUACAUACGUCCUCUCUUGGUUUUGUGUAUAUGGGCCGGUUUAAGCCCAUUUCGUGUGUGUUUGUAUGGCUAUGUUAUAAAGCCAAUUGAGAAGGUUGGAAAACCUAAUCUUCAUGUGAGAGAGAGAUUGUGAGAAGCCAUUGGUGAGUUUGAGAGAACUCUUGUGAGGAAGAACACUUUGGUUUCUUCGAGAGGGCUUGUAUAAUCGUCUCUAUUUGGAAGAUUGUUGUUUUGGUCGUGGACGUAGGCAAUAUUAGCCGAACCACGUAAAUCUUGUGUUUGUGUUUGUUUGUUUUUUUUGCUUUGUCAUCUUUCAUACACUAUUUCAAUCUUGGGUAUUGGUGCAUAAGCUUCCGCUGCGCACAACAGUAGCAAUACUAUAUAAAGUUUCUAGAAAGAUGCAAAUCCAUUUAGCUUUAAGAAAAAAAUUAACAAAUCAGAUUGUAUGCAUGCCUGAUCAAUGGGAACAUCUGAUGUGCAUUUGCACUCCAAAAAUCAUCACCAAGAAAGCAGCUUCAGCUUUUUGUUAAUCUGCAGUGUGGAACUCUCAAUCCAUCACCCAAAUACAAACUACACUGUAACUAGAAGCAUAUAUAUGGAAAAAACUUCAAAUUAAGAGAACAUUACUUACAUUAGUAUACCUUAUUUUUAAAGUCCAUACCAUAGCCAACUUAAAGGGUCUAGGAAACAAGCUAUUACCAACUGAUGGAAGGCAUCUUCAUCUGGUUCUUUAUAUCGCAGAGAGCUUGGAGUCAUGCCAUCGAGAAAUGAGAGUUCCUGUAGCAACAAAAUGAUAUGUGGACAAACUCAUACCAAAGGUGAAGACACGUCUAUUUACUUGGUAUGGGAAAAAAAAAAAGAUAAGCAGGACAGAGCUUUUUCCUAAGCUUAAAAAAAAUUCAAAAUUCAAACCUUUAGAGCAAUACUACCUCUCAAAUGUCAACAAUUACAAUUAAAAAAGGGGUAUUUAGGUUUUAGUCAUUUUAAUUAUAUACUAUUUAGGGAAUAAUCACUUAAGUUCGAUUAAUUAGGUUUUGAUCACUAGAACCGGGUUUAACCGGAAAAUUAUUUUAAAAGGCUAAAGUACCCUUACAUGUGAUAAGUUAAUUAAAUCUAAAAUACAACAGUAACAUCCAGAUCUCCAGACUCAAACUUUUUAAUUUCCACAAACCACCGUCCACCCCCAUUAGCUCUCUCUUACACCACAACACCACUGGAAAAAAAUAUUCACCUCCUCCCCACCGCCAUAGCACCACCGCCACCAAGUUGUUCUCUUUUCCUCCAUCACCACAACACCACCGCCACCUCUCUCUCUUUCUCUCUUCACCACAACACCACCAUCCACAUAAAUCUCUAGCUUCUUUGUUGUUGAAUAGAUGUCGAAUUUGGUUGAAAGAUUGGAUUCAUUUGGGGUUGAAAAUUGGGUUUUGUUUUUGGGUUUUUUUUUCAAUAAAUGGGUAUGUAGAAAAAGAAAGAGAAGAUUGUGAGAUUGAGUUGUUUUAGAUUUGGAAAGGAAAAGGAAUUGAAUUCUUCAGAUCUGGUCGAAGAAGAAAAGUUUGAUAAUCAUGGUAAAAAAAAAAGUUCUGAUGUUGGUUCUACACUUCUACUAGAGCUUUUGUUGAUUUGAACUCUGGGAAUUUGAUUUUUUUGAUUAUUGAUAAAAAUAAAAUAAAAUAGAUAAGGGCAUGGUGGUUGCAGAGACGGUGAGAAGAUAAGUGUUGGUUGUGUGAGGUGGAUGGACAGAUUAGACUAAGAAAAAUUCAAACGGGGUACUUUGGGUAUUUUUGAAAAUAUACUGGUUCAGCUACCGGUUCGUGACUAAAAUUUAAUUAAUCGAACUUAAGUGACUAUUCCCUAAAUAGUAUAUACUUAAAGUGAUUAAAACCUAAAUACCCCUUAAAAAAAUAAAACAAUACACAAUUAAGAUCCUAACAAAUAUAAAGUCCAUGGACGACAAAGACAACUGAGCCUAAUUAAACUUCGACAUGAAGUCUACACCUAAUUUAAGCAAAAUAAUCAAAGCAGACCUAAAAAUUUAGUGCCUAAUUUGGAUUUAUCAAACAAGAUAACAUCAAGAAGAUAAGAUUUUUAAGAAACUAGUACAAAGCAAUACCCUAUGUCAACAAUGAAAUUGACUCGUUUUUUCAAUUAAUCAUGAAAAUAAUGAGUUGGGUUAUCGAUCUAGUUAGAGAGAAAGAGAGAGAAAGAGAGAGUACCUCUGAGAAGUCGAUUUUUCUUCAGUUUAUUAAUUGUCUGAAAAACCCUAACAAAAAGAGUAAAAGAACUUAAGAAGAUAGAUCUGUAAAGAACGAUUUGUGGGAAAACAUUAAGAAAGAAUAAAAAUUAGAGAGAAAUUGAAGGUACAUAC